CGGGGGGCGGGCGUCCCGAGGCAAGAGAUGUCCCCAGCGGGGCUUCCCGCGGGCCAGGAUGGAUGAACAGAGCGUGGGACCCGUCCCCGCCCCAGCAAAGGCCAUGGCCGGCAAAGGGCACGCAGAGCUCAGCUACCUGAAUCAAGACCUUUGCGUGCGGAGCUGUGUUUGGAAGAGAGAAGAGGAAGGUAAAGGUGAAUGGCCGGAAAAGAUGAAGAUGGGUUAUCUUAGAAGACGCUUUUCUGUGUUUCCCUUUGGACCUUCACGCAGAGAUUGAUUCCAGAUCUAAAGAGGGACAGACACUCCUUCGGGCCCUCCACUCCAGCAGUCUCUCCCCAGCCAGAGACUUCAGGGCUGCAGAUGAAGUUCGGCUACAGUAAUGAAAACCUUUGCUGUUCAACUCAGUACCUGCUCGCUGCAAGGAC
Long non-coding RNA from Sorex araneus (European shrew), 425 nucleotides. RefSeq lists it as uncharacterized. Lineage: Eukaryota; Metazoa; Chordata; Mammalia; Eulipotyphla; Soricidae. The transcript is spliced from 3 exons. The record is from RefSeq and is a predicted model, not a curated record.